This is a long non-coding RNA of Ictalurus punctatus (channel catfish), 746 nucleotides long. The record is from Ensembl. Lineage: Eukaryota; Metazoa; Chordata; Actinopteri; Siluriformes; Ictaluridae.
UAGAUUAUGUUAGUGUUAUAGAGUAUGUUAUAGAUUAUAUGUUAGAGUAUGUUAGUGUUAUAGAGUAUGUUAGUGUUAUAGAGUAUGUUAUAGAUUAUAUGUUAGAGUAUGUUAGUGUUAUAGAGUAUGUUAUAGAUUAUAUGUUAGAGUAUGUUAGUGUUAUAGAGUGUGUUAUAGAGUAUAUGUUAGAGUAUGUUAGUGUUAUAGAGUGUGUUAUAGAUUAUAUGUUAGAGUAUGUUAGUGUUAUAGAGUAUGUUAGUGUUAUAGAGUAUGUUAGUGUUAUAGAGUAUGUUAGUGUUAUAGAGUGUUAUAGAUUAUAUGUUAGAGUAUGUUAGUGUUAUAGAGUAUGUUAGUGUUAUAGAGUAUGUUAGUGUUAUAGAGUAUGUUAGUGUUAUAGAGUGUUAUAGAUUAUAUGUUAGAGUAUGUUAGUGUUGUAGAGUAUGUUAGUGUUAUAGAGUGUGUUAUAGAUUAUAUGUUAGAGUAUGUUAGUGUUAUAGAGUGUUAUAGAUUAUAUGUUAGAGUAUGUUAGUGUUAGUGUGUUAGAGUAUACAGUAUGUUAUAGAGUAUGUUAUAGAUUAUAUGUUAGAGUAUGUUAGUGUUAUAGAGUGUGUUAGAGUAUAUGUUAGAGUAUGUUAGUGUUAGAGUGUGUUAGAGUAUACAGUAUGUUAUAGAGUAUGUUAUAGAGUAUAUGUUAGAGUAUGUUAGUGUUAUAGAGUGUGUUAGAGUAUACAGUAUGUUAUAGAGUA